RNAcentral lists this ribosomal RNA (253 nucleotides) under uncultured bacterium. RNAcentral's name for it is "partial 16S ribosomal RNA". It matches the Rfam family "Bacterial small subunit ribosomal RNA", at positions 524 to 776 of the family's 1533-position model. The record is from RNAcentral.
UACGUAGGGUGCGAGCGUUAAUCGGAAUUACUGGGCGUAAAGCGUGCGCAGGCGGCUUUGCAAGACAUAUGUGAAAUCCCCGGGCUCAACCUGGGAACUGCAUUUGUGACUGCAAGGCUAGAGUACGGCAGAGGGGGAUGGAAUUCCGCGUGUAGCAGUGAAAUGCGUAGAUAUGCGGAGGAACACCAAUGGCGAAGGCAAUCCCCUGGGCCUGUACUGACGCUCAUGCACGAUAUCGUGGGGAGCAAACAGG